CGGCCCGCGGGCGGCCCCGCCGCCCCGCCGGCCGGCCUCCUCUGUUUUUGUUUUGAUGGAGCCCGCGUGCAGCUGGCGCGUGUCGAGUCACGUGCCAGGGGCGGGAGGGGGCUGGGGCGCGGGAGGCGAGGGCGCGGUGACGCACGCGUCCGGAGGGCCUGCCGCGGGGCUAGGGGCGAGGGGGCGUGUGCCCCAGGCAGAUCCCGGUGGUGCAGGGUGUCGAGGCCGCAUCUGGUGGGGUUCGUGGGAGUUGAUGCUCGGUAAGCCUUAUUCGGACGUGGGUGUGAAUCCCACUGCACUUCUAGCUCGUCGUCACGGCAUCUAGGCGAGCCUCAUCGAUCCGGGCGGGGGCCCGGCGUGCGCUGGUUCGGUCCAAGAUGGAGCAGACCUUACCGGCGUGUGUAUUUUCUGCGGGCACGUAGAGACCUGUAUGUCGUGCUUAAUCCUGGCUGCAAGUUAUAAACAACUUGAGAAAGACACCUAUGCGUGGCCCAAUCCCAGACUGAUUGACCCCAAAUCCAAAUAGGGCUUGGACGGUAGAGUAUUUAGAAAAAAACCUUUCUCCGUGUGUUUGAUGCACAGUGAGGGGCGAGAACUUACAGAGGUCGCCGGCUUGAUGGCAUAGAUGUUUGUGAAACGAUCUGUAGGGAGGAAAUAGUAAAAAUAGCUUAAAUAGUUAACACGUAUUAACACUAGAUGGGUCACUGUCUGCACUGUGGCGACGCGGGUAUGGAUAUUUGAUGAAACAUUGUCGUCCCCAUUUUACAGCUGGGAAAUUGAAAUUCACGAGGAGUGGUAAGAGUUGGUCAGUGAUGAUACCUGAUUAGUACCCAGGGAGGCUGACUCCAGACCUCAUGCUUUAGACCAUUGCAUAUGCUGCAUCUGAAAUAACACCUUGACCUAAGGGCCAUGAAUUUGAGUGAAUAGGAAUACUUACAUGUUUGCCCACGAUCCCGCGAGUGUAUGUGCGUAUGUUUAUAUAUAUAUUUUUUAUGUACGAAGUUUUACUGGUAUUGUCGGGGGGAUAGGGGAGAAUCACUUGGUGAAUUCGUUAAGGCCUAUAGGCUACUAAUAUUUACAUGAAGUUUAUUGUGUAGAGAGAGGGAUCCGAGUAAUGUGAAGAGGACCGAUUCUGUGGAAGUUUUUUGUUUUGCUUUUGUUUUGAGGCUUGAACAUGGCGUUUGUGAAGUGAAGAGUCUGGAAGGUGCAGAUAUUUUCUAAGGAUUUACAUGAGCAGCCACAACAAGCCCCUUCGGUUCUUACUAAUGACUGCUGUCUAGUAUUGUUAGCUGUAAAGCAGACAUAGGCAUAUUAUCAAGUUUUAGGGAUUGGUUUUCAUGUGGCUUGCAGUUUGGGUUAGAAAAGUUUAUAGACCCACUGAGGCAAGCCGGACACAAAUAUGAGUGUCAUGGGUCUGGCAUGGAAAUGAUCUCUCUCCUUCUCCUGUCAUCCCUGUCCUUCUUAAGCCACCAAGAACACUUUUCUCCAGCAUUGCCUAACCAGUUGUGGUUCAUUUGCACAGCUCUGCACAGGUUGUUCCUCUGCUUCUUGAGUACCUGGUUCCAAAUUUCCCCUGGUUUCUGUUCAGAAAACAUUUAAAUACCCUCCCUGUGUCACCGCUGUGUUCUGUAUGUAUCUGUGUUGCUGCAUGUUUUACAACACAGGGUAUUUUUGUUUACGUGUUAGACAGUCUGACUAAAUCCAGCUUGUCAAAGGUGCUAAUGGUGAUUCUUUGUAUAUCACUGGGACACAGUAGGCAUGUAAGUUUACCGUGUGGGUCUGAAUUGAAUUUGUGUUGCGUUAUACGUGGUGUUCGCCUCUGUCACCCAUCCUCAUUCUUAAAUGUCUUCAUCUCCUCUGCUGCUAGCUUAUUAGGCUCAAAGCACACAUCCUUGAACAGAGAAUACGGAAUACUAUGGACACGUUCUUGCGAAAGGAACAGAACCGAAGGAGCAAAAUGUAAUCAAUUUUCACUUGUUUCCGAAUUUCAUUCCCAGUUGGCUAACUGGACCGCGUGAAUUUUCUUGGUUACUCCUGUAAACCGGGACGGAUGCUCAAAAUCCUCACUUUUCAGCUUUUUUAGGAAAGAAGAAAGGGCACUCUGUUAUAGAUGGAUGUAUUUUAUGUGCCAUAGCAGAGUAUAGAUGCUUAAUCACUUUUCAUUACACUGUAAUUUUUAGAUUUAGUAUUAGCGGGGUAUUUAUAGAGCAGCAUUCUCCCGUAGAGCUUUCUGAGACAAUAGACAUGAAUUUUACUGAUAUAUUUAUAAUGACUUCAAGUAAUAGCCACUAGCCACAUUGAAGAGUUUCAAUGUGGCUAGUGUGACAUAGGAACUGAUUGCUAGUUGAUUUCAGCGUAAAGAGCCACCACUAGCUAGGGGCAAAGGUAUUGGACAGCACAGCUACGGAGGAUUCGCUUAUGGUUAAGUCUAGUACUUGACAGGUAAACGUUUAGGCUGAAGUUAUUCUGCCUUUACAAGAAAAAUCUUGAUUCAUUUCCUAGGGCCUAACACUGUGCUUCUCGUUCAUAGAUUAUAAGGUGUUUACUAGGUGAUAUUUUCGACCUGUAUGAGGUCUUCAUAUUAUAGAGCAUUUGUCUGUGUGUUCUGGGAACUUGCCACGUAAUUCAUGUCAUCUCCCUUUUUUUAGGAGCAGAGUGGAGUGAUUAUGAAUAGUUGUAAUUAUGAGUAGCUACAAGUCAAAGGGAUUUGAGCCCUUGACCUGUAAACUGAAUGAAAGUCCCAUAAGCAUAAUCAUUACUUCUCUAAGAUGUGUUGUGAAAAGCAGGCACUGUGUUUGUCCUGCUGACCCUUGUAUCCCUGGUGCCUCAUACAGUAUCUGACACAUACCAAGCGUUUAUAAUUAGUUGUCGAAUGGAUGAAUGUUCAAGUAGGUUAACCCCUCUAAUGUGGCUUCAGAAGGUACAUGUAUAGAGCUGAACAAGAGGCUGAGUACCAGUAACUACACCGUAUUUAUGGUUCUUCCAAGGAACGCAGUCUUUCCCAGGACGUUAUUGUUCACUCAGUGACUUUGAUUUCUUCCCUGUAAGGUAUGUAGCAGGACUUGUGAUCCUUUAUUGAUAACACAGAAGUAAAGUCAUGAGAAGAUUGGUGGUCAGGUCAUACAGAGAGAGUUGGAAGCGUAAGUCAGAUUGAAGUAGUUCCUUCUAUUGCCUUCUGCACUCGUCCCCGAUUCUUUUUCAGUGAAAUAAACUCAUGGCACUGAGCUAUGUUAGAAAAUUUGGUUUGUAAAGUUGAAGGUAAUUAUGUAUGUUAAUAGAGUCUGAAAACAGCUCUGAAAAUACAUCUAGUAUGGCAUGACAUGGAGAAAAGAGCUUCAACAUGAGAAACAGGAACGGAAGCAUUUAUUUCUUAAAUCUCUAAAUCUCAGUCUGUGGUAAUCCUAACACCCAGGUUAUAAAUUUCUCAAAGGGAAUAUUUAAAAACGUAAAUAGAAACAGAUGUUUAGGUUGUGCAGAUAACCACUACCAGGCUUUGAAAUAUUUAUGUCGAAAGGUACUAUAUACAUCAAACAUCUGUUCAGAACGAGAGCCCCGAGGCCCACAAUUGUAGAUUUCAUUUCAUGUGGUGGGUGCUGUAUUGGGGAGUUGAUGACGGAGCCCGAUAUGUGGUCUGGUGCUUGUCGAAGGUGGUGCACAGGCUGCUGUCACGGCUGUGCCUCAGACUUCCCUUCCUCGUGGUGUGAGGUGUGGCUGGGUUACAGGCUCGUCCUCAUGCCUAGGACGCAGGCUAGCUUCCUAUUUUUCUGCCACUGUGUGUUCCACAAAUGAAAACUAAGUUUAUACUAGAGUAAGUAAAAUAUAUUUGAAAAUGCAAAUCUAUCAUUUAGAAAAGAUCACGUGAUACAUUCCAAGAUAAAAACAUGAAGUGUAUUUUUCGGGGGGGGGGGGGAGUGGGGAGGGGAGGGCAACUUUCCCUUUAGCGAUUUCUGGCCUCUUAAUCCAUGGCUCUUUACACACAUUUGGUGUGUGCUUCUUUGAUGUCAGUGGUAGUGGGGGGAGGCCCCAAAACUGUUAACCACGUGUCCCAUAAAUUUGGGGACCCUUAAAACCAAAACCAAAACACGACUAUAACAAGACAAAACUAACCUCUCCUGUCAGCAACAAAAGUUAACCCAAGCAAUCAAUUAAAUGUAAAGGACUGUGAGAUUUGAGUUGUGUAGAGGUCAGUAACAUGAAGGGUUUUUUUUUUUUUUGAAGGCAUUAAAUGUAAAUUAUUCUAGAUAAAAGAAUUUAUAUGUGUUUAACCAUGUAGCAAUAAUAAAAGAAUUCAUAUUGCAGUAGGUCAAGAUGGAUGUAUUUGUCUAGAAGAUCCUGUGGGACCACUUCGGAUUCAGGUGUGUAGUUAAAGAAUCAUUUCAGGUUUAUUGAGAACUGUCCCUAGUGACGUCGGUCACUAACUUGGUAUAAUAAUUGAGGGAAGUUAACUGGUUUCAUUUCUUUUUCUCCUCACUGGGGUGGGUGGAUUGGAUCACUGGUUCCCAGACUUAGCGUGCGUUAGGCUCACCCAGGGCUUGUUAAACCCAGAUUGUCGGACCCCCAGCCCAGAGUUUCUGACUCAGCGGGUCUAGGGUGGGCCUCACGAUCUGUAGUUUUUGCAAGUUUCUAGGAGAUGCUGCUGCUGGCCGGGACUACAUUUUGAGAACCACUGGAUCAGAUCAUCUUUUGUAAAGUUGUAUAAUCUUGGGCCUGUUUCUUCGUUUUUCAAGUGGCAGGCACCUGUCCUUUGAAUUCUGCAGUAUCGUGUCCUUUAAAGAUUGCUGGAUGGCAGACUGAGUUAUAAAAGUUUAAAAUGGAUUAAUUUAAUUUUAUGAGAAUUCAGGUAUUUUACAAAAUCUUUGGAUCUGUUCAAAUUUAGAUUGGGUAUUCUCACCCAGUAGUCAAGGUCCCCAGUUAAAUUAUACUGAAAUAUUUCCGAUGUUAUUAAAAGACAACACUAUUCUCUGUUUCUUAAACCUGAAUGUUCUAUCAAAUAUAACCAAGCAACUUAUAAUAGCUCCAGGAUAUGAUGGAGCACAUUACGUAAUUGGGAGCUCACUAAAUAAAAUGGUGUUUAUGAGACAAAGCUCCUUUCCGAGUUAAAACUCUGUGAGUUUGGGUUCUUGGUAGAUGGAUAGCAUUAACCUGGACAUCCUUCCAAGUUAACUGCUUUAGCAGAAGAGUCACGGCUACAGGAAGGAGAUGCUCAUUAGGGGAUUAAGAGUAAGUUGUCACGGCACGGCCAUUCCCUGUCUUGAGGACUUUGGGCAACAGCGGAGGCUCUGCAGUUUGUAAAUGAGGAGCAUUUCGGGCUAAAAUCUGGUAGGACGGCCGUGGAGCCAGGAGAUGUCAUAAAGCAGUCCUUGCAGGUCACGUGUACGGUUCUUACCCAGAGUGUGUGUUUAUUUUUGUGGUGGUGGUGGUGGUGGUAGGGGGAAGUAGUGAAGGGGCUUUGGGGAGGGGUUGGUGGCGAUUCUAAGGCAUUCUGACAGGUUGUGCUCUGCAAAUAUUCCAUAUUAAACUAGACUCCCAGGUGCCAAGAGCCAGAUGGACUCACAGUCUGAGGUGAGUUGAAGUGAGGAUUCACAGUACAUUCUAAUGUGAGUGAAUUUAUGGGAGAAGAAAGGAUAGCAAGCAAUUUUUUUUUAAAUUUUUUUUAAUGUUUAUUUUUUCUUGAGACAGAGACAGAGUGUGAACAGGGGAGGGGUGGAGAGAGAGGGAGACACAGAAUCCGAAACAGGCCCCAGGCUCCGAGCUGUCAGCACAGAGCCCGACGCGGGGCUCGAACCCACGAACUGGGAGAUCAUGACUUGAGCUGAAGUCGGAUGCCCAGCCACUGAGCCACUCAGGUGCCCCAGGAUAGCAAGAGUUUUUAAGGGAAAAAUCUUGCCUGAGAGCGAGGAAAUAAAAAAGAAAUGGGUGAGGUGUAGGGGAUGGCAGGGUAAAAAUGAAAGGUUUUAAGUUUUUUAAAUGUUCUGAAACUGUGUGUAUGUCAAGACUAGUUAAUAGCACAGGGUUCUUUGUUAGAAAAUAACUUAAUGAGUUUUCCUUUUAAUUUCCAGUGAAUGCUUCAAGAUACCACCAGAUGCUAUUAUUUGACUUCUCUCGCAUGCCUUUCCAACGUUAUGCCCAAGAUCCACACAGUGCUUACUUUUUUAGAUUGCUUUAUGAUCGUUAACUUGUUUAAAUCAAAUUCCUGGAAGGCACACGCAGUGUUUAUUAUUGGAUGUGUUUUAUGGAUUAGGAAGCAAAUCAUUUGUGUAGCACAGGCCACAAAUCUGGGCGGAGGCCAUGAGAUCUCACUGCUUUUCACGUCUGCUGGUGUUAAUUUUAUCUUGAAAUUCUCUGUUUUCUAACUGCUUUUAUAAAAUGAUUGAACCUUAAAUCUUAAAGUUGAGUCAGCAUCCAUAUAAUUGAUUUUAGACUGUAUUUCAAGGAAAGGGCCUUAGAUUUUGAUAUACUGUUUAUUUCUUUGAAAAGGACCACACGUGACUUGCUGCUCGUCAUUUCUUGACUUCAACAUCUGUGACAUAAUCUUCGGAACUAAAUCUGUGACACUGGUUUGAAUUCUUUAGACUUGAGAGUUUGAGGCUGGGGUUGGCAGUCUCUGUAUGACAGGAGUGCUGGGGGGGAUGGCCCUUGGACCAGUUUUCACUCAGCAGUGGGAGGUGGGGUGUGCCGCUGUGUUACCUCCCGCCUUCCCCUUCCUCAGCAUCUUUUAAAAGCCUCCUGUGCUUCGGGGAGUUAAGACACUUAGUGUUUUUCUUGUAUUUAAUCACAUUAGCACCGGGCAACAUCGUCUUUGCCCUUGUCACAUGUCUUCAGUUUCCUCUCUUCCAACUUGUGUCACUUCUUUUCUUAGUUAGGCAUCUAGCUUCUCAGGAUGACUUCUGGUCGGCCAAAGCCCCCCAUCUCUGGAUUUCCUUCAUGAUCCUGUCUCCACGUGUUUCUCUUCUUCCUUUCCCUGCCAGUUCUCUCCUUGUGCUGUGGCCGAUUUUAUUUAGUUUGGUGGAAAGGGUAUUAAGGUAGAGUAGUGUUAGUAACUGUAAGAACGAUUAGUGGGUACGUGCCCCUUGGGAUGCUCUGCUAAGCGCUUCGUGUUCUUCCCACGGGAUCCUAGUUCCCACUUGCUACGGUACCGUGGGGGAGAAUGUCCAACUCUGUGGCAUAGGCUGUCAUCUGGAAAACGGGGGCUUGGUGGAGUAAGGUGUGUCUGGCCCUACAAUGUUGUGAUUGAGUUUAUUCACCCUCGAAGGAAUACUUCAGCUUUCUGAAAGAUACCUGUUACUCAAGACUGGCGUCUCAGUGUAGGGGUGUUGCUGCUCAAUCCCAGGAGCAGGAUCCAGGACUCCUUAUUUCAGACUGCCUGCAGUGUGGCCGGCCUUCUUUUUCCUUCAGAAGCCAGGGAGGAGCCUCAGGGGACCCUUCUCCAUACUUGUGCCAUCUACAGUAGAAGACCUGAAAACUGAACCUGAACACUCCACUUUGGAAAGGUUGUUGACCCCGAUUUGGAAGAUUUUGCCACUUCUCAUCUCCAUGGUGGUGACAUUCUGCUUCUGAAGACAUCUUUUUUCAUUGAUGGUUCAUUAGGAGAGUUUCUGGGAACCUGCUUAAUUCUUCUGUUAAUUCUUGAAGAGCUUAUUAAAAAACGCUACCUCACAGGUUUUCUCUUGCAAAAUUAUACGUGGUCUGUGACCUUGAGUGCCUGUUUCCUAUUUCUAGGGGAAUUUUUGUUAGUACUGAAUCUUUCUGUAAUGUUCACAGCUACGCCAAGCUACUUAUCUGUUCAUUGUCAAGGCCACUGACAAUUGUUUUGCUUUCUGCUUUCGUAUUGAUGUAUCAUGCAUUCAUUGCACGUAUUGUCCAUUUUCUAAAAAUCUAUGAUUAUCUUUUUUGUUUCUUUAUGUUUCCAGAGAGAUUAAUCAUUGCUGUGCUAGGAACACUUACUUACUCAGCUUUGUCUUUAGUGUUGUUCAUAUUCCUUCAGCUUUUCCUACUUUUUUAGUUUUUCAAAAUUGUAUGGUACCUAAUUCUUAGAGGCUCUAUCCCAAAGGAAUUUGUGAGGACUCUUUGAAUUUUAGGGAUUACUGCCCAAGGAUGCAAGUAUUUGGUAGCAACAAGUGAAAAGUAUUUUCUUUUAAAUUCAUUUAUUUUUUUGAGAGAGUGAGAGUGCAUGCACAUACACGGGGGAGGGGCACAGAGAGAGGGAGAGAGAGAAUCCCAAGUAGGCUUCACACUGUGAGUGCAGAGCCCCACGCGGGGCACUGUCUCACGACCUUGAGAUCAGACCUGAGCUGAAAUCAAGAGUCGGAUGCUCAACUGACUGAGCCACCCAGGCACCCCAAGUGAAAAGUCUUUUUAAAUAGAAUGCUAUUCAUAGGCUUUCUUUGGACUUUAUCUUUAAAAUCUGUGGUCUAGUUGAUUAUGCCUUUUAGUUGGUUUGUGAACAGUUAACUGUGGUUGCUGUGUUUAUAAGCUUCUCCUAUUUUCAUGACAAAAGGUAUAAAAAUCCUGUUUUUCUCCCACUCUUAAAGGGUUCAAAAUUAAAAUUCUUUCUGCUACAAAUUUAAUUCUUCUGAAAGGGAACAUAGGAGUUUGCUCUUUGCCAUUUAUACUUGUUACUACCUAACUAGUAGUUUGGAACAAAGACUUUGUAGGCUUAGUGAAUCAGUAUGCUGUUCAGUCCUUUCAUAUCAGCUACAGAAUAUUUUUCAGUAGUAGCAGAAACAACAGAAAUAUCCCAACAACAGAUUUGCUUUAAAAAGAUUUUUAAAUGUUUAUCCAGAUAAGAAAUGCCUCCCCAUAGCUGAAGAACAUUUGCUCCUAUGUGUGUGGGGUGGGGAUGGGAAAGUGGUGGUGAUGGUGGUGUCCUGGCUUAUCCUGGGCUCAUUCUGUGUCUCAUGGUCCCAGCCCCUUAACCCCAGGAAGGGCCCAGCAGUUUUAGAGGACAUUGGCAGUGGGACCCCGAGAGGGACUGGAAACACCCUUCUCCUUACUGCGUUUCGUUCUUGUUUUUGCAGGGUACUCGUUGUUUGAAAGCACUGAAAUGCAAUUGUAUAAAUACACAUAUUGCUUGCUUACAUCUUUUUGGAUCAUUGUGCUCUUUUGGAGUUAAGGGAUCUAAACUCUGGGAAGAUUACUAAUUAGGAACAGGUCAGGUCCUGGACAUUCCUGGUAAAAUCCAGUGUAUUUUGGAUUGCAGCACUUUUCUGUGUUACUUUUCAUGCAUUGGAAUCCUCCUAAUCCUGGACCUGGAGUCUAGGAGCAGGCCCUAGUUAAGUAUGUCCUCUCUGGGCAACUUUUGUGUCCAAAAGUAAACCAAAGAAAACAAACAAACAACGCUUAAAGAUGUCUGGGAUCCAUCUGAAAGUGUUGUGUGAUGUUGUCACACCAUGGCCUUGGGAUACUGACAAGCCAUUUUCGGCCAUUCCUCUCUUUCUUGUUUAUUCUUUUUUUCUUCCUGUGUUCUUUACUGUCUUCACUUCUUUCCCUUUUGCCCGCCCCCCCCCUUUGGGUUCUUUUCUGUUUCUUCUGUUCUUCCUUUCUCCUUUCCCUUUGCCAUUCCUGGUAUGGAUAGCCUAGUGACGCCCUGAAGUUACUGUAGGCAUUUUUUUUUAAGCUAAUGGCAGCCCAGAGCUAAAUACAAGUUUUCCUCUACGAUUCUGUGCUGAUGCAAACGAUCUCUGAAGAGUUUCAUAUGUUUAUAUAGCAUAUUCUAUGUUGAAUGGAAAAUAUUAUGUGAGCUAUAUUUCAUAUGGAUGUUCAGAUUUUGUGCUCAAGGACAUUCUGCCAAAAUUUAGGUAAUAGUAAUCAUACAGAUAAUGAACUUCAGGAUUCUUUCUAUUUAUGAAAUUGUUGGUAAACGGCGAUGUUGUCUGAGUUAACGUAAUGAUUUUAAAUUGCUUAAGCUUGGGGUAGUUGGGUGGCUCAGUUGGUUAAGUGUCCGACUUUGGCUCAGGUCAUGAUCUCGUGGUUCGUGAGUUCGAGCCCCACGUCAGGCUCUGUACUGACAGCUUGGAGCCUGUAGCCUGCUUCAGAUUCUGUAUCUCCCUCUCACUCUGCUCCUCCCCCACGUGUGCUCUCUCAAAAAAUAAAUAGACGUUAAAAAGAAUUUUUUUUUUUAAAUUGCUUAAGCUGUAACAAAGUUUGGUGAAAAAAUGUGACAGUCGAAUGGGUUGUAAAUACGCGAUGAUUACUUAUGCCAUUCUCAAGGGAUCAGAGUAUAUUCUAGUUCCAGUGGCUUCACAGCUGAUUGAAUGCCUCUUCUUAUUUUAUAAAUAAGGCAGCUUACUUAAUUUUACACGGCUGGUUAGUGGCAUAGAUGACCACAGUUAGGUUUUCCACUUCACUAUCCACCCUGCUUUUUUGGACAGAAAGUUUAAUUUAUGAAAUUUCGAGGUAAAAUGGGCAGAGAAGCCUGAGAAGAAUGUACACAUUCUAAACCUAGCUUGGCUUGAAUUUAUUAGUUAUGAGGUGUUGGAUGAGGUGAUUAACUUCUCUGGAUGCCAGGUUUUGGACAGAUGUACUUGAAGCUCCCCUCCAGGACGGUGACUUGUACUCAGGUGAGAAAAAUGAAAGAGACACAGGUUUUCUUGUCGUGCAUUUCCGCGAUUUCCGUGUGUGUCUUAUUUCAAGUAGAUACUGUCCCCCCCCCCCCACCCCGCCCUGCUUUUUUUGGUAGGUAUCACUCGUGUAUUUUCUUGUCAGUGAAUCAGCUUUUCUAAGGAUAUUGUGGUUGCCUCUGUAUUCAGGUGUCUCCAGCUUCAUCUUGGUUAACUGAAGUAAAAACGUUUAGAGGCAGGUCUCUCCUAGUUUCAAACUGGUGGAAGGGUACCAUAUGGGAUAUUCCAUAGGUGGAUACCUAAGAGGUGCCUUAUUCAAAUUGUUUGUAGUUUCUUACGGUGUUAGAAAGUAAUGUCAUGUAAAUAAGAUAUAAGAGAAUUUGGCUCUUCUGGUUUCUAGAGUUGCUUUAUUUGGGAUUGUGGAACAGGUUUUUCCAUUCUUAGUAGGAUAACCUGGCAUUGUUUGUGUCAGAGAGAAGACAGUUGUGACAAUCUCGAAGGAUAGGAAAGAUGAGAAGAGUUGAAAGCCUUGGAGAGAAAGAUGAGGAGGCUGGAGUGUGACCGUGAACUCUGAUCCCCUUCCCUCAUUGCUUAGAAGCAGUUACCAUGCUCUGCUUUGCCUAAAGAAACCCCUUGUUUCAGUUAAACGCUUUGGAACGCCUCUCCUGUGCAUCACAUCGAGCUGGGUGCGAGGGGAAUUACAAAAGAAUUAUCCAUGAAGACUUCUUCCUCUAGAUGUUUACCCUCCAGCUGGGUCUCUGAUGCAUAGGCCGUGAAAGGAGUGGGUGAACGUCUCAGUGCCCCAAGAGUGGUGGAGGCAGGAGAGAGAAAAGAGUGCAGAAGUAGGGAAAGACCCUGGGGAGCCAUGCAGUUGCUGCAGCCUGAAGCCCUGGUAGUUAAGGACCCCUAGAGAACUCGUUUGCAUAUUCUUUUGCCAGAGAGUGCGGGGAUGCUGUCGGGCUAGGUUAGGACCCAGGGUUGGGUGUUGGGGAAUGACCGUUGCGUGUUUUCAAGUGGCAAACGAGGAGACCCUGUGAAAGUACCAGAGCCUUUUUACCCCAUCUUUUUAUUUUGAAAGCUUGAAACCUUUAGCAAAACAGUCCCGUAAGCACACAUAUAUCCUUGUAGAUGAAACAGUCGUUAACAUUUUGCCGUGCUUUCCCUCAUGCUCACUGUAUGUGUGUCUUUUGAAUCAAAUGUGGUAAGUAAAUUUAUGUUUGCCUCACCACUUGAAUAUAAGUUUCAGAUACCAUGACAUUUCACCUCUAAAUACCUGCUAAAGGGGACCUUCUUCUAAUUAAAGCUAAUAACCGCACUACAAUGAUCACACCUAAGAAGUUUAGCAUUGAUAUAAUAACAUGGUCAAAUAUAUACGAAAUAUUUUAAUUUGGGAGUGGAAUGUGUAUUUAUUUUUGUUUUUAAAAUCAGGAAGACUUAUCUGGCACAGUGUGUGUUGAAUGAACUGGUGGGGCAAGACUCAAACUGGUUUGUACAUAUUUAAAAAGUCACGUAUAGUCAUAAAAAUAGAAAGACGUUCACUAUUUUCUUGAAUAUAUUCAUGAUCUAUUCAUGAUACAAUCUUAAGUAAGAACAAGACAUGGGAGAGUGUCAAAAAGAGAAUUUAUAGGGGCUCCCGAGUGGCUCAGUCGGUUAAGUGUCUGACUCUUGAUUUUAGGUCAAUAUAUGUAAUUUACAUUGCAUAUAUACAUAUGCUGCCUUUGAUGAUAAAAGAGAAGUGUGUUUAAAAAGCUGCUAAGAGAAAAUGAGUGUUUAGGAAUAAUGUCUUUUUUCUUUAAAGGCAGAUUCUUGGGUUUUAUUGCUGAUUGUAUGAAGGUUAACAACCUUUUUGAGAAUAUACCAGAAAUCUGUUUUAUUGGUAAAUUUUUUCCAUUUGAUAGCAAUUUGAUUAUUUCAUGUGAUGAUUUUUAUAGAAUCGUAUAGUGAAUUUGUGUGAUACUUAUCUUUAAAAAAUAACUUUUCAAUGUUUUGAAAUACAUUGCAUGAAAGGUUAAAAUUAAUUUUGGAGUUAACUCAGCCACAGUUUAUUUUCUGUUGUUGUAUGAUUAACAAAGUUAUUGAUUGGUACUUAGUACCUUUUUCUUUUGAAGGCCAGUGUUUAUUAAUUAGUGAGUGUUGAAUUGCUCCCAGUGUCCAUUAGGCAUCCUGUGGUUAAUAAAGACAGAUAGCCUACUCUUGAUAGAUGCUUCUGGAAAGUUAACUUGUCAACAGUGGUAGUUAAAUUCCUGUCAGGGAGGGAAGCCCCUGAUUGCUGGGACAAGCCUUCAAGAGGAAAGGAACUCCAGGCUGCUUAAUCAGGCACCUAGGGUGUGACUUUGCAGAUGAAGAAAUCUGAUUUUGCUAGUUCAUUCAGAGUUGAUGGGGAAUGUGAGACUGAAUGAAGCCUGCCAAACAAGCUUACAGGAGACUGAACUUCCAUGUGUUAAUUUGCAGUGGGAGAUGUACUAUGGCCAGCUGUAAAUUUGUUGAAAGGAUGACAUUUGGAUCAUAACUUUACUUGGUGAACACAGAAAUAAGAUGGGGGGGCAAAUUAGAUAUUUUCAAUUGCUAUUUCCAUCAAGUCAUUAGAAUUUGAUAGAGGACUUUUCAUUUAUUUGUUACCCCAGGGGCUAUUCUGCUUAGAAACUGGGGCCUGGGGUACCUGGGUGGCUCAGUUGGUUCAGUGUCUGGCUUUUGAUUUUGGCUCAGAUCAUGAUCCCAGGGUUGUGGGAUCGAACCCUGUGUUGGGCUCCAUACUUGCUUAAGAUAUGCGCCCCCCCCCCCCCCACCAAGCUUCAGAGUCUGGGUGGCUCCGACUCUGGAUAUUGGCUCACAAUCUUUCAGUCCUGGGAUGGAGCUCCGCUGUUGCUUGGGAUUCUCUCUCCCUCUCUCUUCCUCUCCCCCAGCUUGGGUGCACACUUGUGCACUCUUGUUCUCUCUCUCUCUCUCUCUCUCUCUCUCAAAAAUAAAUAACCUUUAAAAAAAAAAAAGAUUCUCUCUCUCUCUCCCUCUGCCAAUCGCACAUGCGCGUGUGCUUGCUUGCUCUCUCUCUCUAAAAUCAACAACAACAACAAACCCAAAACAAAACUGGGGCCUAAAAUUAGAGCCUCUUUAGUAUAGUGUGGUGCUAGAUAAGAACAGGAUGAAUUCUUUUCCAGUUCCCUUUGUAAUCAGUUACCAAAGGCCCCAUAGCCUUAUUUAUGCCGGGUACAUUAUAAUACAGUAGGGAGACAAUAAUAAUAGUGAGUGCUUAGCACGUGUUGGGCAUUUUACUAAAAUAUUUUUCUUCUGUAAUUCCAUUAAUCCCAUAAUAGCCCUAGGAAAUAGGCACUAUUAUCAUUCCCACUUCAUAGAUGAGAAAAUCAAAGUUUAGGAAAGCUUGGGGCUUAGAGCCCAAGUUCCAAGCCAGGUGGCCUGACUCUGGAGACGCUUAUGAUCUUAGCUCAUGAUAGAAUUUCUUUUGCACAUAGCAACUUCUUUCCAGUUGUGUUUUCCUUAGGAUAUAGCGUGGUCAUUUUGAGACCCCUCAUCUCCCAAGUGAACACGUAGGAAAUGUACUUAAUGUUAAAAUAUUUAAGCACUAACUCUUAGGGUAGUUUUUUUUUUUUUUUUAAGAUGCUGAUUUUAAUCUAUGAUAAUUCUGAAUAGUUUCAUUUGGAGGAUGGACCAUUAAAAAUUUAAAAGGUUGCAAAAACCCCCAAACAUAAUGCAAAGAACAGCUAUUUUUAGUUCACCUGUUAACAUUUGGUGCCUAUUUUCUUGCUCUCUGUAUUUAUGUAUAUAUGUGUGUGUUACAUGUAUAUUUUUUUUUCUGAGUCAUUUGGGAUGUUACAUAUUGCAUGACCCUUUAUCUCUAUUUCAGUGGGCAUUUCCUAAGAACAGGGAUUUUUGGUUAUAUACAGUUACUACCUCAUAAAUUUAUGUCGUUAAAUUAGUUUCAUCUAAUCUGCUAUACAUAUUGUGAUUUUAUCAGUUAUCCUAAUGAGGUCCUUUUUAAAAUAUAUUUUCUUAAAGUUUAUUUAUUUUGAGAGAGAGAAAAUGGAGGAGGGGCAGAGAGAGAGGCAGAGAGAGAUAAUCCCAAACAGGCUUCACGCUGACAGCUCCAGGCGUCAACUCAUGAAUUGUGAGAUCAUGACCUGAGCCCGAGUCGGACGUGCAACCGACUGAGCCACCCAGGUGCCCCCUAGUAAGGUCCUUUGUAACAUUUUUUCCCCCUGUGGUAGGAGAUCCUGUCUAGGGUUAUAUGUCGUAUUUAGUUGUCGUAUCUGUUUGUAUCCUUUAAUUUGGAAUAUUUCUACAAUUUCUUUGUCUUUUUUUAGAUUGACAUUUUUGAAGAAGAUAAUCAUGCCUGUCCUUUUUUUUUUUUUUUUAAUAAUAGAAAUUUUUUCAUUGUGUGUUUGUCUGAUGUUUCCUCAUCUUUAGAAUCAGGUUAUGGGCCAGAACUUACCUUUUCCCCUUCUUAAUAAGUUUAUCGUUUUUAAAAAUCAGGAAAUUAACACUCAUGUAAUAAUAUUAUCUAAGUACAGACCUUACCAGAUUAUACAUUACAUCUAGUCUUAUUUUAUCUGGAACGAUUUCCCUGUCUGACUUUCAUGGCAUUGACAUUUUUGGAGAGUAUUAGCCAAUUAUUUCUAGAAUGUUCUUCAAUUUUGGUUUGUUUGAAGUUUCCUCUUGGUUAGAGUCAGGUUUUGCACUUUUGGCAGAAAUGCUGCACAAGGGACAUUGUGUUUUUCUCAGUGCGUCAUACUUGGAGUCACAUGAUGUCUGUCCCACUGAUGGUGAUACUCAUUUUGCUUAUUUGGUUAAGGUUCUGUCUGUUAGGUUUGCCCAGCGUAAAGCUACUCUUUCCCUCUUUACAGACAAUAACUAUCUUGUGGAGUGAUUUUUUAGUUAAUGUCCUAAUUACUCCUCAAACUUUUACUCAUAGGCUUUAGAAUCCUUGGGUGACUCUUGCCUGAACUGGUUAUUCUUAUGAUGCCCACUGGUGAUUUAACAUGCCAUCAUUCCCGGGGCGCCUGGGUGGCUCAGUCAGUUGCACGUCCGACUUCAGCUCAGGUCAUGAUCCUCACGGUUCGUGAGUUCGAGCCCCGUGUCCGGCUCUGUGCUGACAGCUCAGAGCCUGGAGCCUGCUUCAGAUUCUGCAUCUCCCCCUCUCUCUGCUCCUCCCCCGCUCGUGCUCUGUCUCUCUCUCUCUCCUUCAAAAAUAAAUAAAAACAUUUAAAAAAAAGAUGCCAUCAUUCCCUCUUCAUUUAUUUUUUCUUCCACAAAGAAGAGUGUUCCCUUAACUCUUGUUUAUUUAUAUUGGUGUUGACUCAUGGAUUUUUACUGUAUUCUUAUUUUAUAUUAUCCUUACUUACUGCGUUGCUCAAAUUGUUCUGGAUUUGGCCAGUGGGAGCUCCUUCACGCAGGCUCCUAGGCCCUUUUGACACUGUCAUUUUUGGGCACAUCCUUCCUUUCUGGCACAGAAUAGUCCUUGUGUACUUUCUCCGUGUCAGCCCUGGAAGUGGCCACUUCUCCAUUCUUCCUGUAUGAGAAUCCCUGUUUCUCCAAAGCCUAACUGUUUGCCUUUUGCCGAUGUGGUGGGUGAGCAAUAGCAAUUCAGUGUAGUUUUAACUUCUGUGUCUUUUACGAAUUGAAUUGGACGUCUUUUCCUGAGUUUAAGGGGUAUGUAUGUGUAUGUAUAUGUGUGUGUGUAAUCAUGUUUUUGGCCCAUGUUUCUGCCAAGUUACUAGUAUUUAAUUCUUCAAUUUCAAGAGUUCUUUAUAUAUUAUGAUAUUAGCCCUUUAUCUCAUUUUAUUUAUUGUCUUUGGUUAAUGAUGUUUUUUUCUUGUCAUGCAGAUUUUAUUAAACAUUUUGGUGUAAGCGUAUUAUCAGUCUUUUCUUGUAGUCUACCUGAUUUUGAGUCAUAGUUAACAUUCUUUUCCUUAGAUCAUCGUUAGAGAAGAUUCACCACUUUUUCCCCUGUAGUACUUGGAUAGCUUCAUUGUUUUACAUUUAGAUCCCUGAUUCAUUUGGAGUCUGUUCUUGUGCGUGGUAUGAAGUAUGGGUCUAAUUUUAUCUUUUUCCAGAUGGCUAACCAAUUGUUUUAACCAUUUAUUAAAAAGUUAGUUUUUGCCCCAGUGAUUUUUAGAUGGUCCCUUUAUCACACACAGUAUUAAAGUUCCAUCUGAACUUGGGUCUGUUUUUGACUUUUUGUAUUACCACACUGAUUUGCCUGUCUACUCAUGGGUCAGCAACACACUUUUAAUUAUAGAGUCUUCAGAGUAUAAUUUAAUGUCUGUAAGGACCAGUCCUCUCCUCUAGCAUUUUAGCGUUUUCCUGACUGUUCUUGCACAUGUGUUUUUAAUAUGAGGUUUGGUAUCAAUCGUUAGCUUCAUUUAGAAGAAUUAUUGGUAUAUUUGUGGGGAUUGCAUUAAAUUUAUAAAUUAAUUUAUAGCAACUUGACAUUUUUGAUACUGAUUUGUGCUGUAUGCCCAAAUAAGAAAUGUCUUUCUAUGUGUGAAAGUAUGUGCCCUUUUAGGAAUGUUUGAAAGUUUUUCUUGGAUGGGUUUUAUACCUUUGUUGUUAAAUUUAUUCUUAAAUAUCUUACUUCUCUGUGAAAAUUGUUUUUUUUUUCACUUACUGUAUCAUGGAGAUCUGAACAGUCAUGUCGGUACGUGUAGACUUAUUUUGUUUUUUGAAAUGGGUUCAUGGUAGUGUACUGUACCCUAAUUUCAUUUAAUUUUUUCUCUAUUGGUGUAUUUUAUGUUGCUUCUGAUUUUUUCCUAUUACAAACAGUUCUGUGGAGAACAUAUUUCUACCUAUGUUUUGGCUCACUUGUGUUACUAUAUCUGUAAAAUAGAUUCCUAGAAAUGGAAUUGCUUAUUCUUAGGCCAUGUAGAAUUUUUUGGUAAUAUAUUCUACCACAUUAUCCUCCCACAUUAUUUGACACUUUUUAAAAAAUUUAUUUAUGAGAGAGAACACUCAAGGGGGAGGGGGUAGGGAGGGGAGACGGACGAGGAUCUGAAGCAGGGUGCCCGCACUGACAGCGGCGAGCCCGCUCUGGGGCUGGAACUCCGAGCCAGGAGAUGAUGACCUGAGCUGAAGUCAGAUGCUCACCUGACUGAGUUACCCAGAGGCGCCCCGAUGUGACACUUUCUAAGUCAAGUAAACUUUUAUUGUAUAUGUCAGUUGUUAAAGGACAUUCUGGGGCGCCUGGGUGGCUCAGGCGGUUAAGCAUCUGACUUUUGGUUUCGGCUCAGGUCAUGAUCUCAGGGUUCACGAGUUCAAGCCCCAUGUUGGGCUCUGUGCUGACAGUGCAGCUCCUUCUUGGAUUCUCUCUCCCUCUCUCUCUGCCCCUCUCCUGCUUACUUGCUCUUUCUCUCUCUCUUAAAAUAAAUAAA
Molecule: long non-coding RNA, 17938 nt
Organism: Panthera uncia (snow leopard)
Lineage: Eukaryota; Metazoa; Chordata; Mammalia; Carnivora; Felidae
Exons: 2
Source: RefSeq, a predicted model, not a curated record